UACGGGGGGGGCAAGCGUUGUUCGGAAUUACUGGGCGUAAAGGGCUCGUAGGCGGCCAACUAAGUCGAACGUGAAAUCCCCCGGCUUAACCGGGGAACUGCGUCCGAUACUGGAUGGCUUGAAUCCGGGAGAGGGAUGCGGAAUUCCAGGUGUAGCGGUGAAAUGCGUAGAUAUCUGGAGGAACACCGGUGGCGAAGGCGGCAUCCUGGACCGGCAUUGACGCUGAGGAGCGAAAGCCAGGGGAGCAAACGGG
This 253-nucleotide ribosomal RNA is filed under the name uncultured bacterium. RNAcentral's name for it is "partial 16S ribosomal RNA". It matches the Rfam family "Bacterial small subunit ribosomal RNA", at positions 524 to 776 of the family's 1533-position model. The record is from RNAcentral.